This 468-nucleotide ribosomal RNA is filed under the name uncultured bacterium. Its description in RNAcentral is "partial 16S ribosomal RNA". It matches the Rfam family "Bacterial small subunit ribosomal RNA", at positions 28 to 507 of the family's 1533-position model. The record is from RNAcentral.
GACGAACGCUGGCGGCGUGCUUAACACAUGCAAGUCGAACGGAAAGGCCCUGCUUUUGUGGGGUGCUCGAGUGGCGAACGGGUGAGUAACACGUGAGUAACCUGCCCUUGACUUUGGGAUAACUUCAGGAAACUGGGGCUAAUACCGGAUAGGAGCUCCUGCUGCAUGGUGGGGGUUGGAAAGUUUCGGCGGUUGGGGAUGGACUCGCGGCUUAUCGGCUUGUUGGUGGGGUAGUGGCUUACCAAGGCUUUGACGGGUAGCCGGCCUGAGAGGGUGACCGGCCACAUUGGGACUGAGAUACGGCCCAGGCUCCUACGGGAGGCAGCAGUGGGGAAUAUUGCACAAUGGGCGGAAGCCUGAUGCAGCAACGCCGCGUGCGGGAUGACGGCCUUCGGGUUGUAAACCGCUUUCGCCUGUGACGAAGCGUGAGUGACGGUAAUGGGUAAAGAAGCACCGGCUAACUACGUG